ACGAACGCUGGCGGCGUGCCUCAUACAUGCAAGUUGAGCGCUGAAGGUUGGUACUUGUACCCACUGGAUGGGCAGCGAACGGGUGAGUAACGCGUGGGGAAUCUGCCUUUGAGCGGGGGACAACAUUUGGAAACGAAUGCUAAUCCCGCAUAAAAACUUUAAACACAAGUUUUAAGUUUGAAAGAUGCAAUUGCAUCACUCAAAGAUGAUCCCGCGUUGUAUUAGCUAGUUGGUGAGGUAAAGGCUCACCAAGGCGAUGAUACAUAGCCGACCUGAGAGGGUGAUCGGCCACAUUGGGACGGAGACACGGCCCAAACUCCUACGGGAGGCAGCAGUAGGGAAUCUUCGGCAAUGGACGAAAGUCUGACCGAGCAACGCCGCGUGAGUGAAGAAGGUUUUCGGAUCGUAAAACUCGGUUGGUAGAGAAGAACGUUGGUGAGAGUGGAAAGCUCAUCAAGUGACGGUAACUACCCAGAAAGGGACGGCUAACUACGUG
This 496-nucleotide ribosomal RNA is filed under the name uncultured bacterium. RNAcentral's name for it is "partial 16S ribosomal RNA". It matches the Rfam family "Bacterial small subunit ribosomal RNA", at positions 29 to 507 of the family's 1533-position model. The record is from RNAcentral.